This 356-nucleotide RNase P RNA is filed under the name Prevotellaceae bacterium. RNAcentral describes it as "RNase P RNA component class A". It matches the Rfam family "Bacterial RNase P class A". From Rfam's summary of the family: Ribonuclease P (RNase P) is a ubiquitous endoribonuclease, found in archaea, bacteria and eukarya as well as chloroplasts and mitochondria. The record is from RNAcentral. Lineage: Bacteria; Pseudomonadati; Bacteroidota; Bacteroidia; Bacteroidales; Prevotellaceae.
GCAGUGGGCCGGUUUGUCGCUGCAAACACAGUUUGCAGAGGAAAGUCCGGGCAGCGCAGAGCGCCAUACUUCUUAACGGGAAGCUGUUUGCGAAAACAGUGUAGCGUAACAGAAAACAACCGCCGCCAAGUGCGGUAAGGAUGAAAAGGCGGGGUAAGAGCCCACCGGUUUUACCGGCAACGGUAAAAGCCGUACGCCAUAUGGGCUGCAAGGUCAUGUAUACCGACGCAUGUAGGGUUGCUCGCCCGAUGUCGGGGGGUAGACUGCUGGAAUUGCGGAGCGAUUCGUAAUCAAGAUAAAUGACAAACAAUUUACCAUGUAAAUUACAGAACCCGGCUUAUAGGCCUACUGCAUUU